CGCGCAGGCGGCAUGUCAAGUCAGGUGUGAAAUCCCUCGGCUCAACCGAGGAACUGCGCUUGAAACUGGCAAGCUAGAGUACGGGAGAGGGAAGCGGAAUUCCGAGUGUAGAGGUGAAAUUCGUAGAUACUCGGAGGAACACCGGCGGCGAAGGCGGCUUCCUGGACCGAUACUGACGCUGAGGCGCGAAAGCGUGGGGAGCAAACAGGAUUAGAUACCCUGGUAGUCC
RNAcentral lists this ribosomal RNA (229 nucleotides) under uncultured bacterium. RNAcentral describes it as "partial 16S ribosomal RNA". It matches the Rfam family "Bacterial small subunit ribosomal RNA", at positions 568 to 796 of the family's 1533-position model. The record is from RNAcentral.